CAGCAGCCGCGGUAAUACGUAGGGUGCGAGCGUUAAUCGGAAUUACUGGGCGUAAAGCGUGCGCAGGCGGUUCGUUAAGACAGAUGUGAAAUCCCCGGGCUUAACCUGGGAACUGCAUUUGUGACUGGCGAGCUAGAGUAUGGCAGAGGGGGGCAGAAUUCCACGUGUAGCAGUGAAAUGCGUAGAGAUGUGGAGGAAUACCGAUGGCGAAGGCAGCCCCCUGGGCCAAUACUGACGCUCAUGCACGAAAGCGUGGGGAGCAAACAGGAUUAGAUACCCCGGUAGUCCCUGUCUCUUAUAC
Molecule: ribosomal RNA, 301 nt
Filed under: uncultured bacterium
Lineage: Bacteria
Description: partial 16S ribosomal RNA
Rfam family: Bacterial small subunit ribosomal RNA
Source: RNAcentral